UUCCAGACUCCUACGGGAGGCAGCAGUGGGGAAUAUUGCACAAUGGGGGAAACCCUGAUGCAGCAACGCCGCGUGAGUGAAGAAGUAUUUCGGUAUGUAAAGCUCUAUCAGCAGGGAAGAGAAUGACGGUACCUGACUAAGAAGCCCCGGCUAACUACGUGCCAGCAGCCGCGGUAAUACGUAGGGGGCAAGCGUUAUCCGGAUUUACUGGGUGUAAAGGGGGCGCAGACGGCGAUGCAAGCCAGGAGUGAAAGCCCGGGGCCCAACCCCGGGACUGCUCUUGGAACUGCGUGGCUGGAGUGCAGGAGGGGCAGGCGGAAUUCCUGGUGUAGCGGUGAAAUGCGUAGAUAUCAGGAGGAACACCGGUGGCGAAGGCGGCCUGCCGGACUGCAACUGACGUUGAGGCCCGAAAGCGUGGGGAGCAAACAGGAUUAGAUACCCCGUA
This 445-nucleotide ribosomal RNA is filed under the name uncultured bacterium. RNAcentral's name for it is "bacterial SSU rRNA". It matches the Rfam family "Bacterial small subunit ribosomal RNA", at positions 329 to 791 of the family's 1533-position model. The record is from RNAcentral.